CAGUCGUACCUGCGGGUAAUCAGCCUCUUGGGCAUGAUUCUGUGGAGCGUGAGGAGUUAAACGCCUUCAUGCCUGCAUAUUCGUGUACUUUUGGGUGUACUUGCCUGUGUGGUUAGUUAACAUCAAUUUUGGUAUCAUAAAUGGUUGGAGAAUGUAGCUUCGAUCUCGUAUUGAAGUGUUAUAGCCUUCGGCAGAUGUGAUGAUCGGGAUUGGAGGAUUGCAACGGAUACCCGUUCGGGGCUACCCGUCUGAUCUCUGAUCGUUGCUCGUGGUACCGAAGCGUGCUUACGGUUAUCAAAGUCGAUGGUACAAC
This 313-nucleotide ribosomal RNA is filed under the name Rhizophagus irregularis. Lineage: Eukaryota; Fungi; Glomeromycota; Glomeromycetes; Glomerales; Glomeraceae. The record is from RNAcentral.